RNAcentral lists this ribosomal RNA (253 nucleotides) under uncultured bacterium. RNAcentral's name for it is "partial 16S ribosomal RNA". It matches the Rfam family "Bacterial small subunit ribosomal RNA", at positions 85 to 334 of the family's 1533-position model. The record is from RNAcentral.
UGGGAGUUUAGUGGCGAAAGGGUGAGGAAUACUUGGGAACGUACCCCGUACACUGGGAUAGCUUUGGGAAACUAAAGGUAAUACCGGAUACUCUCCUUCGGGAGCAAAGGGUGGGGAUCUCUUCGGAGACCUGCCGGUAUGGGAGCGGCCCAAGUCCUAUCAGCUUGUUGGUGAGGUAAUGGCUCACCAAGGCGACGACGGGUACCGGGACUGAGAGGUCGAUCCGGCACAUCGGGACUGAGACACUGCCCAG